RNAcentral lists this long non-coding RNA (303 nucleotides) under Cyanistes caeruleus (blue tit). Its description in RNAcentral is "lncRNA (ENSCCEG00000014897.1)". The record is from RNAcentral. Lineage: Eukaryota; Metazoa; Chordata; Aves; Passeriformes; Paridae.
AAGCUAAAAAUGCAGAGCUUCUUAAUUAUCUGGUAAAGCCAGUGAUUCUUCUGGGACAGAGCAGAUAGGAAAGCUGUGAUAGGAACAAAGGAAAUUCUUUCAUCUGAGUGCUGCUUGGCAGGUUGGCUUUUUCCACAAAUUGGAAGAAAUAGAAUAAAGUGAAAAGAUAACCAAAGAGAAGGUGAAGAAAGGUAAGAUAAAAGACAACAUGCAGAUGUGAAUUUAAAAAAAACCCAAACAAAUAACAACUAAUUUCUCAUCUAGUAAAAAUAAAGGCACUCAGAAGAAAUGUGAUAAAGAGCA